RNAcentral lists this ribosomal RNA (319 nucleotides) under uncultured Lactobacillus sp. RNAcentral describes it as "bacterial SSU rRNA". It matches the Rfam family "Bacterial small subunit ribosomal RNA", at positions 378 to 688 of the family's 1533-position model. The record is from RNAcentral. Lineage: Bacteria; Bacillati; Bacillota; Bacilli; Lactobacillales; Lactobacillaceae.
GAUGUCUGAUGGAGCACGCCGCGUGAGCUGAAGAAGGUUUUAGGAUCGUAAAACUCUGUCUGUUGGAGAAGAACAGGGACUAGAGUAACUGUUAGUCCUUUGACGGUAUCCAACCAGAAAGCCACGGCUAACUACGUGCCAGCAGCCGCGGUAAUACGUAGGUGGCAAGCGUUGUCCGGAUUUAUUGGGCGUAAAGCGAGCGCAGGCGGUUUUUUAAGUCUGAUGUGAAAGCCUUCGGCUUAACCGAAGAAGUGCAUUAGAAACUGGAAAACUUGAGUGCAGAAGAGGACAGUGGAACUCCAUGUGUAGCGGUGAAAUC